AAUGCCUAGGAAUCUGCCUGGUAGUGGGGGAUAACGUUCGGAAACGGACGCUAAUACCGCAUACGUCCUACGGGAGAAAGCAGGGGACCUUCGGGCCUUGCGCUAUCAGAUGAGCCUAGGUCGGAUUAGCUAGUUGGUGAGGUAAUGGCUCACCAAGGCGACGAUCCGUAACUGGUCUGAGAGGAUGAUCAGUCACACUGGAACUGAGGCACGGUCCAGACUCCUACGGGAGGCAGCAGUGGGGAAUAUUGGACAAUGGGCGAAAGCCUGAUCCAGCCAUGCCGCGUGUGUGAAGAAGGUCUUCGGAUUGUAAAGCACUUUAAGUUGGGAGGAAGGGUUGUAGAUUAAUACUCUGCAAUUUUGACGUUACCGACAGAAUAAGCACCGGCUAACUCUGUGCCAGCAGCCGCGGUAAUACAGAGGGUGCAAGCGUUAAUCGGAAUUACUAGGCGUAAAGCGCGCGUAGGUGGUUUGUUAAGUUGGAUGUGAAAUCCCCGGGCUCAACCUGGGAACUGCAUUUAAAACUGACUGACUAGAGUAUGGUAGAGGGUGGUGGAAUUUCCUGUGUAGCGGUGAAAUGCGUAGAUAUAGGAAGG
RNAcentral lists this ribosomal RNA (596 nucleotides) under uncultured bacterium. RNAcentral describes it as "bacterial SSU rRNA". It matches the Rfam family "Bacterial small subunit ribosomal RNA", at positions 112 to 704 of the family's 1533-position model. The record is from RNAcentral.